CCUUCGGGUGGCAGCAGUGAGGAAUAUUGGUCAAUGGGAGAGAUCCUGAACCAGCCAAGCCGCGUGAGGGAUGAAGGUCCUGUGUAUUGUAAACCUCUUUUGUCAGGGAACAAAGGCGGGGACGUGUCCCCGGCUGCGUGUAUCUGAAGAAAAAGCAUCGGCUAACUCCGUGCCAGCAGCCGCGGUAAUACGGAGGAUGCGAGCGUUAUCCGGAUUUAUUGGGUUUAAAGGGUGCGUAGGCGGUCUGUUAAGUCAGCGGUAAAAGUGCGGGGCUCAACCCCGGCCAGCCGUUGAAACUGGCAGUCUUGAGUUGGAGAGAAGUACGCGGAAUGCGCGGUGUAGCGGUGAAAUGCAUAGAUAUCGCGCAGAACUCCGAUUGCGAAGGCAGCAUGCCGGCGCCACACUGACGCUGAGGCACGAAAGCGUGGGGAUCGAACAGGAUUAGAUACCCCGGUAGUC
This 459-nucleotide ribosomal RNA is filed under the name uncultured bacterium. Its description in RNAcentral is "partial 16S ribosomal RNA". It matches the Rfam family "Bacterial small subunit ribosomal RNA", at positions 338 to 795 of the family's 1533-position model. The record is from RNAcentral.